This 315-nucleotide unclassified non-coding RNA is filed under the name plant metagenome. RNAcentral describes it as "partial contains 5.8S ribosomal RNA, internal transcribed spacer 2, and large subunit ribosomal RNA". The stretch from base 1 to 105 matches the Rfam family "5.8S ribosomal RNA", at positions 50 to 154 of the family's 154-position model. The record is from RNAcentral.
GAACUGCGAUAAGUAAUGUGAAUUGCAGAAUUCAGUGAAUCAUCGAGUCUUUGAACGCACAUUGCGCCCCCUGGCAUUCCGGGGGGCAUGUCUGUCCGAGCGUCAUUGCUGCCCUUCAAGCCCGGCUUGUGUGUUGGGUCGUCGUCCCCUCCGGGGGACGGGCCCGAAAGGCAGCGGCGGCACCGCGUCCGGUCCUCGAGCGUAUGGGGCUUUGUCACCCGCUCGAUAAGGACCGGCCGGGCGCCAGCCGGCGUCUCCAACCUUUUUUUCUCAGGUUGACCUCGGAUCAGGUAGGGAUACCCGCUGAACUUAAGC